UUGUGGCCUUUAGACAUACUACCAACGGCGGCGCGAGCGUAAGCCUCUGGAACAGAGCGUCUACGUGGGUGAGAAUCCUGUGUUUCGCUUGAUGCCCGCCGUGCACGGUACUUGCUCUCAGAGUCACGCUCCUCGGAAUUGGAGCGUAAAUUGGGUGGUAAAUUUCAUCUAAAGCUAAAUACAGGCUCGAGACCGAUAGCAAACAAGUACCAUGAGGGAAAGAUGAAAAGGACUUUGAAAAGAGAGUUAAAAGUGCUUGAAAUCGCUGAACUGGAAGCGAAUGGAACUAGUGCUCUGGUUGAGAGUGCUGUAAAUGGCUGCGACAUCUGGGCUCUGGAACGCAAGUCCUUUGUCUGGCUUGAAGUAGUCGCUUGCAAUGUGUCUCAGCUUGAACAUCAACUUCUAUGCAUACGUGAGGAUGGCCCUUGGCUCAUGCUGUGUUGCUGUGGCCGAUCUCUUGUGCUUCUGGGGAUUCA
RNAcentral lists this ribosomal RNA (476 nucleotides) under Symbiodinium sp. clade A. RNAcentral's name for it is "eukaryotic LSU rRNA". It matches the Rfam family "Eukaryotic large subunit ribosomal RNA", at positions 143 to 579 of the family's 3401-position model. The record is from RNAcentral. Lineage: Eukaryota; Dinophyceae; Suessiales; Symbiodiniaceae.